GGAAGGGUGUCCGAGUGGUCUAAGGAGCACGCCUGGAGAGCGUGUAGGCGGGUCCCCUGCCUCGUGGGUUCAAAUCCCACCCCUUCCGCCA
Molecule: transfer RNA, 91 nt
Filed under: Bacillota bacterium
Lineage: Bacteria; Bacillati; Bacillota
Description: Firmicutes bacterium tRNA-Ser
Rfam family: tRNA
About the family: Transfer RNA (tRNA) molecules are approximately 80 nucleotides in length. Their secondary structure includes four short double-helical elements and three loops (D, anti-codon, and T loops). Further hydrogen bonds mediate the characteristic L-shaped molecular structure. tRNAs have two regions of fundamental functional importance: the anti-codon, which is responsible for specific mRNA codon recognition, and the 3' end, to which the tRNAs corresponding amino acid is attached (by aminoacyl-tRNA synthetases). tRNAs cope with the degeneracy of the genetic code in two manners: having more than one tRNA (with a specific anti-codon) for a particular amino acid; and 'wobble' base-pairing, i.e. permitting non-standard base-pairing at the 3rd anti-codon position.
Source: RNAcentral